RNAcentral lists this transfer RNA (66 nucleotides) under Paenactinomyces guangxiensis. RNAcentral's name for it is "tRNA-OTHER". It matches the Rfam family "tRNA". From Rfam's summary of the family: Transfer RNA (tRNA) molecules are approximately 80 nucleotides in length. Their secondary structure includes four short double-helical elements and three loops (D, anti-codon, and T loops). Lineage: Bacteria; Bacillati; Bacillota; Bacilli; Caryophanales; Thermoactinomycetaceae. The record is from RNAcentral.
GAGCCAUUAGCUCAGUUGGUAGAUUUAAUCAGAGGGUCGAAGGUUCGAGUCCUUCAUGGCUCACCA